UACGUAGGUGGCAAGCGUUGUCCGGAUUUAUUGUGUUUAAAGGGUGCGUAGGCGGUUUUGUAAGUCAGUGGUGAAAUAUGUCAGCUUAACUGAGAGGGUGCCAUUGAUACUGCAGAAAUUGAGUACAGAUGAGGUACGCGGAAUUGAGGGUGUAGCGGUGAAAUGCUUAGAUAUCGUCAAGAACACCUAUAGCGAAGGCAGCUUACUAGUCUGUACCUUACGCUGGGGCACGAAAGUGUGGGGAUCAAACAGG
RNAcentral lists this ribosomal RNA (253 nucleotides) under uncultured bacterium. Its description in RNAcentral is "partial 16S ribosomal RNA". It matches the Rfam family "Bacterial small subunit ribosomal RNA", at positions 524 to 776 of the family's 1533-position model. The record is from RNAcentral.